AAACAUCUCCCAAAGUCCUGCCAAUCUGACCUGGUGGGAAAAUUGUUUUCCCAGCCCAAGUCUGGUGAUCAGUUUGACCCUGAGCAUGUGCAAGUCACACA
Dermochelys coriacea (leatherback sea turtle) is the source of this 101-nucleotide long non-coding RNA. RefSeq lists it as uncharacterized. The transcript is spliced from 3 exons. The record is from RefSeq and is a predicted model, not a curated record. Lineage: Eukaryota; Metazoa; Chordata; Testudines; Dermochelyidae.